AUGGCUACAGUCCUCAUGGUCCCCUUGAUCCUGUACCUGCUCGCGGUGCUUGCCGGCCGCCAUGUUCACUGUAAGAGCAAUGGGGCCGCCGCCGGCCUUUAUGACGUUACAGAGUACGGAGCGGCGCCGAGCAGCGAAGACAACAAAGACGUGAUCUUGGCGGCAUGGCGCGCCGCGUGCAGCUCCACGACCGGCAACACGACGCUGCUGAUCCCCGAGGGCACCUUCGCCGUCGGCGCCGUGGAGUUCUCGGGCCCGUGCAAGAGCGGUGACGCGCCCGUCGUGGUGAUCGACGGCGUGCUCCGGCCGUGCACGGGUGGAUGCCACCUAACGGAUGAUGAUUGGAUCACGUUCAGGGCCCUGAGCAACCUCCUCGUCACCGGCGCCGGUACACUAGACGGCCAGGGCGGCGCUCGGACUAGCAAGGCCAAAACGACGACACUGGAGCUGGACGGCGUGACGAACUCGACCGUGAGGGGCCUGCGGUUCGUGGACAGCCGGGGUUUCCACUUGAGCUUCCACCGCAGCAGCCGCGUCGCGGCGGAGGGCCUCCGCAUCCACGCCCCCGCAUCCAGCCGGAACACGGACGGCAUCCACGUCGGCUGCUCGAGCCACGUCCGCAUCGCCGACUCGGUCAUCGGCACGGGCGACGACUGCGUGUCCGUCGGCCCCGGCUCCUCGGACGUGGUGGUCACCGGCAUCGUCUGCGGCCCGGGUCACGGCAUCAGCGUGGGCAGCCUGGGGAGGAAGGAGGGGGAGGAGGACGUGCGCGGGCUGGUGAUCCGGAACUGUACCGUGCGCGGCACCACCAACGGGCUGCGCAUCAAGACGUGGCCCGGGUCGCCGCCGGGGCGGGCCUCCAACAUCACCUUCGAGGACAUCAUCAUGGCCGACGUGUCCAACCCCAUCCUCAUCGACCAGCGGUACUGCCCCCACGGCCGUUGCUCCGACGUGGACAAGCCUUCGCGGGUGCAGAUCAGCGACGUGACCUUCAGGAGGAUCCAGGGGACGUCGAGCAGCAAGGUGGCGGUGCAGCUGCGGUGCAGCGAGGAGCAGCCGUGCAGCGGGGUGCGCCUGGACGGCAUCAACCUCCGGUGCGGCGACCAGCCGUGCCACGCGCAGUUCGCCAACGUGCGGGGGACGCCCGCCUUGGAGGCGCAGGCGCCCAGCCUCUGGGUUCAAGAAGCUCACGUGCUGCCAUCAGACGCUGAAUAA
This 1215-nucleotide ribosomal RNA is filed under the name Triticum aestivum (bread wheat). RNAcentral describes it as "partial small subunit ribosomal RNA". The record is from RNAcentral. Lineage: Eukaryota; Viridiplantae; Streptophyta; Magnoliopsida; Poales; Poaceae.